UAGAGUUUGAUCCUGGCUCAGCUUGAACGCUGGCGGCAUGCCUUACACAUGCAAGUCGGACGGCAGCGCGGGCUUCGGCCUGGCGGCGAGUGGCGAACGCGNNNNUNAUACAUCGGAACAUGUCCAGUAGUGGGGGAUAGCCCGGCGAAAGCCGGAUUAAUACCGCAUACGAUCUGUGGNNNNNAGCGGGGGAUCGCAAGACCUCGCGCUAUUGGGGUGGCCGAUGGCGGAUUAGCUAGUUGGUGGGGUAAAGGCCUACCAAGGCGACGAUCCGUAGCUGGUCUGAGAGGACGACCAGCCACACUGGGACUGAGACACGGCCCAGACUCCUACGGGAGGCAGCAGUGGGGAAUUUUGGACAAUGGGCGCAAGCCUGAUCCAGCAAUGCCGCGUGUGUGAAGAAGGCCUUCGGGUUGUAAAGCACUUUUGUCCGGAAAGAAAUCCUUUUCGAUAAUACCGAGAGGGGAUGACGGUACCGGAAGAAUAAGCACCGGCUAACUACGUGCCAGCAGCCGCGGUAAUACGUAGGGUGCGAGCGUUAAUCGGAAUUACUGGGCGUAAAGCGUGCGCAGGCGGUGAUGCAAGACCGAUGUGAAAUCCCCGGGCUUAACCUGGGAACUGCAUUGGUGACUGCAUCGCUAGAGUAUGGCAGAGGGGGGUAGAAUUCCACGUGUAGCAGUGAAAUGCGUAGAGAUGUGGAGGAAUACCGAUGGCGAAGGCAGCCCCCUGGGUCAAUACUGACGCUCAUGCAC
RNAcentral lists this ribosomal RNA (752 nucleotides) under bacterium enrichment culture clone PF-1_10. RNAcentral's name for it is "bacterial SSU rRNA". It matches the Rfam family "Bacterial small subunit ribosomal RNA", at positions 1 to 754 of the family's 1533-position model. The record is from RNAcentral.